RNAcentral lists this ribosomal RNA (537 nucleotides) under Streptomyces sp. 303B06. Its description in RNAcentral is "bacterial SSU rRNA". It matches the Rfam family "Bacterial small subunit ribosomal RNA", at positions 93 to 644 of the family's 1533-position model. Lineage: Bacteria; Bacillati; Actinomycetota; Actinomycetes; Kitasatosporales; Streptomycetaceae. The record is from RNAcentral.
UAGUGGCGAACGGGUGAGUAACACGUGGGCAAUCUGCCCUUCACUCUGGGACAAGCCCUGGAAACGGGGUCUAAUACCGGAUAAUACUCCUGCCUGCAUGGGCGGGGGUUGAAAGCUCCGGCGGUGAAGGAUGAGCCCGCGGCCUAUCAGCUUGUUGGUGGGGUAAUGGCCCACCAAGGCGACGACGGGUAGCCGGCCUGAGAGGGCGACCGGCCACACUGGGACUGAGACACGGCCCAGACUCCUACGGGAGGCAGCAGUGGGGAAUAUUGCACAAUGGGCGAAAGCCUGAUGCAGCGACGCCGCGUGAGGGAUGACGGCCUUCGGGUUGUAAACCUCUUUCAGCAGGGAAGAAGCGAAAGUGACGGUACCUGCAGAAGAAGCGCCGGCUAACUACGUGCCAGCAGCCGCGGUAAUACGUAGGGCGCAAGCGUUGUCCGGAAUUAUUGGGCGUAAAGAGCUCGUAGGCGGCUUGUCACGUCGGAUGUGAAAGCCCGAGGCUUAACCUCGGGUCUGCAUUCGAUACGGGCUAGCUAG